Molecule: ribosomal RNA, 269 nt
Filed under: uncultured Planctomycetales bacterium
Lineage: Bacteria; Pseudomonadati; Planctomycetota; Planctomycetia; Planctomycetales
Description: partial 16S ribosomal RNA
Rfam family: Bacterial small subunit ribosomal RNA
Source: RNAcentral
GAGCACGUAGGUGGGUUUGUAAGUCAGAUGUGAAAGCCUUCUGUUCAACGGAAGAAUUGCAUCUGAACCUGCGAGUCUUGAGUGUAGGAGGGGAGAAUGGAACUUCUGGUGGAGCGGUGAAAUGCGUAGAUAUCAGAAGGAACUCCGGCGGCGAAAGCGAUUCUCUGGCCUAUUACUGACACUCAGUGUGCGAAAGCUAGGGGAGCAAACGGGAUUAGAUACCCCGGUAGUCCUAGCCGUAAACGAUGGGCACUAAGUAGAGGGGUUUU